GCGCCGAGACGGUCUGGUGCCGGCGCGCUUCCUCAGCAUCAUGUCGCACCUAACGCUCUGCCUGGCCCUGCUGAUGGCCCGGGAGGACAACGUGGAGGCGUGCCUGCCGUUUGAGUACAGCCCAGACGAGUUCGGCGCCAAGGACACCCAGCUGGUCGUCGGCCUUAGUCUGGCCGUAGCGCUGAUGCUGUU
This is a long non-coding RNA of Pollicipes pollicipes, 192 nucleotides long. RefSeq lists it as uncharacterized. The record is from RefSeq and is a predicted model, not a curated record. Lineage: Eukaryota; Metazoa; Arthropoda; Thecostraca; Pollicipedomorpha; Pollicipedidae. The transcript has 3 exons.